CGGACGGGUGAGUAAUGUCUGGGAAACUGCCUGAUGGAGGGGGAUAACUACUGGAAACGGUAGCUAAUACCGCAUAACGUCGCAAGACCAAAGAGGGGGACCUUAGGGCCUCUUGCCAUCGGAUGUGCCCAGAUGGGAUUAGCUAGUAGGUGGGGUAACGGCUCACCUAGGCGACGAUCCCUAGCUGGUCUGAGAAGAUGACCAGCCACACUGGAACUGAGACACGGUCCAG
This 232-nucleotide ribosomal RNA is filed under the name uncultured bacterium. RNAcentral describes it as "partial 16S ribosomal RNA". It matches the Rfam family "Bacterial small subunit ribosomal RNA", at positions 99 to 334 of the family's 1533-position model. The record is from RNAcentral.